GAUGAACGCUGGCGGCGUGCCUAAUACAUGCAAGUCGAGCGAACAGACGAGGAGCUUGCUCCUCUGACGUUAGCGGCGGACGGGUGAGUAACACGUGGAUAACCUACCUAUAAGACUGGGAUAACUUCGGGAAACCGGAGCUAAUACCGGAUAAUAUAUUGAACCGCAUGGUUCAAUAGUGAAAGACGGUUUUGCUGUCACUUAUAGAUGGAUCCGCGCCGCAUUAGCUAGUUGGUAAGGUAACGGCUUACCAAGGCAACGAUGCGUAGCCGACCUGAGAGGGUGAUCGGCCACACUGGAACUAGGACACGGUCCAGACUCCUACGGGAGGCAGCAGUAGGGAAUCUUCCGCAAUGGGCGAAAGCCUAACGGAGCAACGCCGCGUGAGUAAUGAAGGUCUUCGGAUCGUAAAACUCUGUUAUUAGGGAAGAACAAAUGUGUAAGUAACUAUGCACGUCUUGACGGUACCUAAUCAGAAAGCCACGGCUAACUACGUG
RNAcentral lists this ribosomal RNA (497 nucleotides) under uncultured bacterium. Its description in RNAcentral is "partial 16S ribosomal RNA". It matches the Rfam family "Bacterial small subunit ribosomal RNA", at positions 28 to 507 of the family's 1533-position model. The record is from RNAcentral.